This is a long non-coding RNA of Mus musculus (house mouse), 752 nucleotides long. RefSeq annotates it as predicted gene, 30484. The record is from RefSeq and is a predicted model, not a curated record. The transcript is spliced from 3 exons. Lineage: Eukaryota; Metazoa; Chordata; Mammalia; Rodentia; Muridae.
CCUGGCUGUGUUGAUGAUUCACAUUCACUGUUUCCAGCCUUUCCUGUCUCUAACUUACCAGGUGGUGGAAGAUCCUGUUUGGUUUGACUAUAAGUACUAUGUGUCUAUGAUACUCACUACAAGAAUCUUCCUAAUCACAGUUGUGGAGUUUGACAAUCCGUGCUUCGGGCUCUUCCAAUCAUCCCAAUGAAAUUCCUGUUAUUCCUUGAGUUGAUUUGUGCCUCUACUAUCCUGGUCUUUUGUUUUCCCUCUGGAAGGAACUCAGUUGAUGAAAGCAACUAUGUGGCUGAAGAACAACUCAUUAGGCCUGUGAUAGGCACAGGAUCUUCUCAGGAACCAGAAGACUCACAAGAAAGUUCUGAGAACAGUGGUGGCGAUGUGCUUGACAUCGCUGGUGUGAUUCCUGAGACGGUACCCCGGGGGAUCAUAUAUGUUUAUAACCUUAUAUCCAUAAUAAGAGGACUCAAUUUGUAAACCUCCUUACUUUUUAUUCAUUUGUAGGUGUCAUGAUUAUUCUCUGUAGUUUUAUAAGGUAGAUUCAUAUUUUCUUAUAAGAUAUGUCAAGGAUUCUGUGAACCUGCCUGACUUAAUGAAAUAAGAUGUUUUUGGAUCUACUAUUUAGACUUCUCCACCUACCUUCAGUUUUAUUUUCUCUAACUAUUUACACUGAUGGCUGUAUCCUUCAUCUAUAACUUUCAUCUUAUUUGUAAUAAAUGAGUAUUACCAAUAAAUAACUGUAGUUAUUAGCUUUA